GGGAAUAUUGGGCAAUGGGCGCAAGCCUGACCCAGCAACGCCGCGCGAAGGAGGAAGGCUUUUGGGUUGUAGACUUCUUUUAUUCGGGACGAAGAAAGUGACGGUACUGAAUGAAUAAGCCACGGCUAACUACGUGCCAGAAGCCGCGGUAAUACGUAGGUGGCAAGCGUUAUCCGGAUUUAUUGGGUGUAAAGGGCGUGUAGGCGGGAAUGCAAGUCAGAUGUAAAAACUCAGGGCUCAACCCUGAGCCUGCAUUUGAAACUGUAUUUCUUGAGUGCUGGAGAGGCAAUCGGAAUUCCGUGUGUAGCGGUGAAGUGCGUAGAUAUACGGAGGAACACCAGUGGCGAAGGCGGAUUGCUGGACAGUAACUGACGCUGAGGCGCGAAAGCGUGGGGAGCAAAC
RNAcentral lists this ribosomal RNA (402 nucleotides) under uncultured bacterium. RNAcentral describes it as "bacterial SSU rRNA". It matches the Rfam family "Bacterial small subunit ribosomal RNA", at positions 357 to 773 of the family's 1533-position model. The record is from RNAcentral.